RNAcentral lists this ribosomal RNA (1413 nucleotides) under metagenome. RNAcentral's name for it is "bacterial SSU rRNA". It matches the Rfam family "Bacterial small subunit ribosomal RNA". The record is from RNAcentral.
AGAGUUUGAUCCUGGCUCAGGACGAACGCUGGCGGCGCGCCUAACACAUGCAAGUCGAACGAGCGAGAGAGAGCUUGCUUUCUCAAGCGAGUGGCGAACGGGUGAGUAACGCGUGAGGAACCUGCCUCAAAGAGGGGGACAACAGUUGGAAACGACUGCUAAUACCGCAUAAGCCCACGGCUCGGCAUCGAGCAGAGGGAAAAGGAGCAAUCCGCUUUGAGAUGGCCUCGCGUCCGAUUAGCUAGUUGGUGAGGUAACGGCCCACCAAGGCGACGAUCGGUAGCCGGACUGAGAGGUUGAACGGCCACAUUGGGACUGAGACACGGCCCAGACUCCUACGGGAGGCAGCAGUGGGGAAUAUUGCACAAUGGGGGAAACCCUGAUGCAGCGACGCCGCGUGGAGGAAGAAGGUCUUCGGAUUGUAAACUCCUGUUGUUGAGGAAGAUAAUGACGGUACUCAACAAGGAAGUGACGGCUAACUACGUGCCAGCAGCCGCGGUAAAACGUAGGUCACAAGCGUUGUCCGGAAUUACUGGGUGUAAAGGGAGCGCAGGCGGGAAGACAAGUUGGAAGUGAAAUCCAUGGGCUCAACCCAUGAACUGCUUUCAAAACUGUUUUUCUUGAGUAGUGCAGAGGUAGGCGGAAUUCCCGGUGUAGCGGUGGAAUGCGUAGAUAUCGGGAGGAACACCAGUGGCGAAGGCGGCCUACUGGGCACCAACUGACGCUGAGGCUCGAAAGUGUGGGUAGCAAACAGGAUUAGAUACCCUGGUAGUCCACACUGUAAACGAUGAUUACUAGGUGUUGGAGGAUUGACCCCUUCAGUGCCGCAGUUAACACAAUAAGUAAUCCACCUGGGGAGUACGACCGCAAGGUUGAAACUCAAAGGAAUUGACGGGGGCCCGCACAAGCAGUGGAGUAUGUGGUUUAAUUCGACGCAACGCGAAGAACCUUACCAAGUCUUGACAUCCUGCGACGCACAUAGAAAUAUGUGUUUCCUUCGGGACGCAGAGACAGGUGGUGCAUGGUUGUCGUCAGCUCGUGUCGUGAGAUGUUGGGUUAAGUCCCGCAACGAGCGCAACCCUUAUGGUCAGUUACUACGCAAGAGGACUCUGGCCAGACUGCCGUUGACAAAACGGAGGAAGGUGGGGAUGACGUCAAAUCAUCAUGCCCUUUAUGACUUGGGCUACACACGUACUACAAUGGCGUUAAACAAAGAGAAGCAAGACCGCGAGGUGGAGCAAAACUCAGAAACAACGUCCCAGUUCGGACUGCAGGCUGCAACUCGCCUGCACGAAGUCGGAAUUGCUAGUAAUCGCAGAUCAGCAUGCUGCGGUGAAUACGUUCCCGGGCCUUGUACACACCGCCCGUCACACCAUGAGAGCCGGGGGGACCCGAAGUCGGUAGUCUAACCGC